CAUACGGGUGGCAGCAGUGGGGAAUAUUGGACAAUGGGGGAAACCCUGAUCCAGCGACGCCGCGUGAGUGAAGAAGUAUUUCGGUUUGUAAAGCUCUAUCAGCAGGGAAGAAAAUGCCGGUACCUGACUAAGAAGCCCCGGCUAACUACGUGCCAGCAGCCGCGGUCAUACGGAGGGGGCACGCGUUAUCCGGAUUGACUGGGUGUAAAGGGAGCGUAGACGGCAUUGCAAGUCUGAUGUGAAAGAUUGGGGCUCAACCCCAGGACUGCAUUGGACACUGUAAAGCUGGAGUACAGGAGAGGAGAGUGGAAUGCCGAGUGUAGGGGUGAAAUCCGUAGAUAUUAGGAGGAACACCAGUGGCGAAGGCGACUAACUGGAAUGUAACUGACGUUGAGGCUCGAAAGCGUGGGGAGCAAACAGGAUUAGAUACCCCUGUAGUC
RNAcentral lists this ribosomal RNA (440 nucleotides) under uncultured bacterium. RNAcentral describes it as "partial 16S ribosomal RNA". It matches the Rfam family "Bacterial small subunit ribosomal RNA", at positions 338 to 795 of the family's 1533-position model. The record is from RNAcentral.